AGUGAACGCUGGCGGUAGGCCUAACACAUGCAAGUCGAACGGCAGCACAGGAGAGCUUGCUCUCUGGGUGGCGAGUGGCGGACGGGUGAGGAAUACAUCGGAAUCUACUCUGUCGUGGGGGAUAACGUAGGGAAACUUACGCUAAUACCGCAUACGACCUACGGGUGAAAGCAGGGGACCUUCGGGCCUUGCGCGAUUGAAUGAGCCGAUGUUGGAUUAGCUAGUUGGCGGGGUAAAGGCCCACCAAGGCGACGAUCCGUAGCUGGUCUGAGAGGAUGAUCAGCCACACUGGAACUGAGCCACGGUCCAGACUCCUACAGGAGGCAGCAGUGGGGAAUAUUGGACAAUGGGCGCAAGCCUGAUCCAGCCAUACCGCGUGGGUGAAGAAGGCCUUCGGGUUGUAAAGCCCUUUUGUUGGGAAAGAAAUCCAGCUGGCUAAUACCCGGUUGGGAUGACGGUACCCAAAGAAUAAGCACCGGCUAACUUCGUGCCAGCCGCCGCCGUAA
Molecule: ribosomal RNA, 506 nt
Filed under: uncultured bacterium
Lineage: Bacteria
Description: partial 16S ribosomal RNA
Rfam family: Bacterial small subunit ribosomal RNA
Source: RNAcentral